This 212-nucleotide unclassified non-coding RNA is filed under the name plant metagenome. Its description in RNAcentral is "partial contains small subunit ribosomal RNA, internal transcribed spacer 1, and 5.8S ribosomal RNA". The record is from RNAcentral.
GUUUCCGUAGGUGAACCUGCGGAAGGAUCAUUCAUAAUAAAGUGUUUUAUGGCACUUUUUAAAAAUCCAUAUCCACCUUGUGUGCAAUGUUAGAUCUCGUCAAUCUUGGCGAGAUUUUUAUACAUCAACUCAUUUUUUAACUAAUUUGUCUGAAAAAUAUUAUGAAUACUUAAUUCAAAAUACAACUUUCAACAACGGAUCUCUUGGCUCUC